This 487-nucleotide ribosomal RNA is filed under the name Pseudolebinthus sp. NV-2017. Its description in RNAcentral is "partial 16S ribosomal RNA". It matches the Rfam family "Bacterial large subunit ribosomal RNA", at positions 1833 to 2582 of the family's 2925-position model. Lineage: Eukaryota; Metazoa; Arthropoda; Insecta; Orthoptera; Gryllidae. The record is from RNAcentral.
CUUCUUGAAUUAAUUAGAGGUUGGGCCUGUCCACUGAUGAAUUGAAGGACCGCGGUAUUUUGACCGUGCAAAGGUAGCAUAAUCAUUAGUCUUUUAAUUAAAGGCUUGUAUGAAUGGUUUGACGAAAUAAUAACUGUCUCUGAAUUAUAUAAUUGAAUUUUACUUUCGAAUUAAAAGGUUCGAAUGAAAUUAAGGGACGAGAAGACCCUAUAGAUCUUAAUGUUAAAUUUUUAUGAUUACAUUAUUGGUUGUAUUCUGUUUUAUAAAUUUUUAUCAUUUUGCUGGGGUGGUGUGAGAAUAUAAUAACUUCUUAAUUUUUAACUUAUUUUAUGGAUAUAUGAUCUUAUAUUAUGGAAUCAAGAUUAAGAUACCUUAGGGAUAACAGCGUAAUUUUAUUGAAGAGUUCUUAUCGAUAAUGAAGAUUGCGACCUCGAUGUUGGAUUAAGAUUAUAAAUCGGUGUAGUUGCUGAUAUUAAUUGGUCUGUUC